Molecule: ribosomal RNA, 253 nt
Filed under: uncultured bacterium
Lineage: Bacteria
Description: partial 16S ribosomal RNA
Rfam family: Bacterial small subunit ribosomal RNA
Source: RNAcentral
UACGGAGGGUGCAAGCGUUGUCCGGAUUUAUUGGGUUUAAAGGGUGCGUAGGCGGCCCUGUAAGUCAGUGGUGAAAUACUGCAGCUUAACUGUAGCAUUGCCAUUGAUACUGUAGGGCUUGAGUACAGAUGAGGUAGGCGGAAUUGAUGGUGUAGCGGUGAAAUGCAUAGAUACCAUCAAGAACACCGAUUGCGAAGGCAGCUUACUAAGCUGUAACUGACGCUGAGGCACGAAAGCGUGGGGAUCGAACAGG